Molecule: long non-coding RNA, 1216 nt
Organism: Nicotiana attenuata
Lineage: Eukaryota; Viridiplantae; Streptophyta; Magnoliopsida; Solanales; Solanaceae
Exons: 3
Source: RefSeq, a predicted model, not a curated record
CACAAGCAAAAGCUGGACUUCCAUUGGCUCCUCUAGCGAAAGAGCACAAAAUUACUGUCUGUCUUUAUUCCCUAUGAGCAGAGUAUCACAUAGAAGGAUAAUGGAAGCAGAAAGAAAGAAAAUGGAGUUAGGGUUUUUAAUUAAGGGAAGGGUCUAAUUCUAUCCAGAUGUGAUUAAUGUUGUAUAUCUGCCACGCAAUUAACCCUAAACAACCCCAAUGCUGUAUAGAAUAGAAAAAAAUAUGUGGAGAAUGUGUUUAUGCAAUGACAACAAACUGUUACAUGGCAGCUAUCAGCCAAACUUGCUUGGAAAAAAGAAGGGUAUGUUCACCUGUCAAAAACAGAGAGAAGAGAGAUCCUAUAUUCACACCUAAUAUUAGUCGAAUUAUCAUUGUAGAACCCACAAAAAGAAAGGACAUCAACUUGAGAAUCUAGCUCAUGCCAACGGCAAACCAGUAUUUGAUCUUGAGAGCCAAAAAAGAAGAACAGCAAAAGAAGACGAGUAGUACUCUGAAGCACGGCCUUGCUAUUCGUUUAAAGCUCCACAGCAUGCACUACAAACAUAAUGGUAACUGCUUGAGGUAAGAGCUCAUCUAUUUUAGAUUAAAGACGAGAAUUCACCGGGAAAUCAACCGUGUGUUCAGCCUUGUAUCUCCCUUCUGCAGAAAAAUCAAAACAGGUAUGAUUAUGAAAUCUGGAAACCAAUUCAUAGAUAAAGGUCAUGAGUGUCAGGGCCCUGUUUCUUGGUGCCAAAAAUGUGCAAUUGGGUGCCAAGGCAGGCAGUUGGCAUAGGCAUGCUUGGCACGUGGGACAGUUGAGCGUUGAAGGAAAAUGUUAUCUUGAAGGCUUGUUGGCAAUGUUUGAUUUUAUUCUGUUAUAUUUUUUCUUCAUCUGCGCCUUUUAAAGCAUGGGUGCUUUGUGUUUCAAGCCCCAAUAAACUCGGGUGCUUUUCUAUGUUUUCGCCUUUGACAUUUCUUUCUAUAUGUGUUAUCUUAGUUUCUGAUUUAUAGGCUGUUAGCCCCGUGUAGGAAUUGACUCUUUCAAGAAUUGGACUCCUAUCACGCAGCAGAAUAUUUUACUUGUUCAAAGCAAAUGAUUGAUUAGGCUACACACCGGUCGUGCCAAUUCAGUGGAUGGUCGGUCGAGACACUGAGUUCGCAGUUGCUUGGUAUAGUUCUUGAAGCCACAAUCCUUACCAAGACCUUCACAGUAUCUAC